CCUACGGGGGGCAGCAGUGGGGAAUCUUCCGCAAUGGACGAAAGUCUGACGGAGCAACGCCGCGUGAGUGAAGAAGGUUUUCGGAUCGUAAAGCUCUGUUGUUUGAGACGAACGUGCAAUUUUUGAAUAAGGAAUUGUAAUGACGGUAUUAAACGAGAAAGCCACGGCUAACUACGUGCCAGCAGCCGCGGUAAUACGUAGGUGGCAAGCGUUGUCCGGAAUUAUUGGGCGUAAAGGGAGCGCAGGUGGGAAAGUCAGUCGAUUUUAAAAGUGCGGGGCUCAACCCCGUGAGGGAAUCGAAACUACUUUUCUUGAGUGCAGGAGAGGAAAGCGGAAUUCCUAGUGUAGCGGUGAAAUGCGUAGAUAUUAGGAGGAACACCAGUGGCGAAGGCGGCUUUCUGGACUGUAACUGACACUGAGGCUCGAAAGCCAGGGGAGCGAACGGGAUUAGAUACCCCAGUAGUC
This 465-nucleotide ribosomal RNA is filed under the name uncultured bacterium. Its description in RNAcentral is "bacterial SSU rRNA". It matches the Rfam family "Bacterial small subunit ribosomal RNA", at positions 338 to 795 of the family's 1533-position model. The record is from RNAcentral.